CCUACGGGGGGCUGCAGUGGGGAAUUUUGGACAAUGGGCGCAAGCCUGAUCCAGCCAUGCCGCGUGCAGGAUGAAGGCCCUCGGGUUGUAAACUGCUUUUGUACGGAACGAAAAGCCUCUCUCGAAUAAGAGGGGUGAUGACGGUACCGUAAGAAUAAGCACCGGCUAACUACGUGCCAGCAGCCGCGGUAAUACGUAGGGUGCGAGCGUUAAUCGGAAUUACUGGGCGUAAAGCUUGCGCAGGCGGUCUGAAAUCCCCGGGCUCAACCUGGGAACGGCCAUUGUGACUGCAAGGCUGGAGUACGGCAGAGGGGGGUGGAAUUCCGCGUGUAGCAGUGAAAUGCGUAGAUAUGCGGAGGAACACCGAUGGCGAAGGCAGCCCCCUGGGCCUGUACUGACGCUCAUGCACGAAAGCGUGGGGAGCAAACAGGAUUAGAUACCCCAGUAGUC
This 450-nucleotide ribosomal RNA is filed under the name uncultured bacterium. RNAcentral describes it as "partial 16S ribosomal RNA". It matches the Rfam family "Bacterial small subunit ribosomal RNA", at positions 338 to 795 of the family's 1533-position model. The record is from RNAcentral.